GUACAAUAGAACCGGCGCUUCAAGGGUGGCCGCGGCUGAUCCCCUUUGAAAGGGGGUGAUGCCAUGACAGUAUAUGAAGCAUUGUCCCUGAUGAUCGCAUUCGGGAUUUUGAUUGCUACAAAACUGUCUCAGAAUAAAAAGAAGUAGGUCACCCUUGAACUUUUUGGGGAAGUCCGGGUGACCUUGCUUCUACCUGCUCCACAAUUGAGCCGUGGCCCUUUGAGGGCGACUAUUGUACCUGACCGUAUGUUACCAGCACCUG
RNAcentral lists this small RNA (262 nucleotides) under Effusibacillus lacus. Its description in RNAcentral is "BsrG". It matches the Rfam family "BsrG". From Rfam's summary of the family: bsrE, bsrG and bsrH pair through intermolecular interactions with antisense sRNAs. SR4 interaction with the 3'UTR of bsrG RNA promotes bsrG degradation and inhibits its translation. SR5 also overlaps bsrG from nucleotide 163 to 52 (Rfam overlap check). The record is from RNAcentral. Lineage: Bacteria; Bacillati; Bacillota; Bacilli; Caryophanales; Alicyclobacillaceae.